AGCUUGCUCCCAUUUCUCAGCGGCGGACGGGUGAGUAACACGUGGGCAACCUGCCCUACAGACUGGGAUAACUCCGGGAAACCGGAGCUAAUACCGGGUAAUACGUAGCAUCGCAUGAUGCAACGUUGAAAGUUGGCCUUUGGCUAACACUGUAGGAUGGGCCCGCGGCGCAUUAGCUAGUUGGUAAGGUAACGGCUUACCAAGGCCACGAUGCGUAGCCGACCUGAGAGGGUGAUCGGCCACACUGGGACUGAGACACGGCCCAGACUCCUACGGGAGGCAGCAGUAGGGAAUCUUCCGCAAUGGACGAAAGUCUGACGGAGCAACGCCGCGUGAGUGACGAAGGCCUUCGGGUCGUAAAGCUCUGUUGUUAGGGAAGAACAAGUACCGUUCGAAUAGGGCGGUACCUUGACGGUACCUAACCAGAAAGCCACGGCUAACUACGUGCCAGCAGCCGCGGUAAUACGUAGGUGGCAAGCGUUGUCCGGAAUUAUUGGGCGUAAAGCGCGCGCAGGCGGUCUCUUAAGUCUGAUGUGAAAGCCCACGGCUCAACCGUGGAGGGCCAUUGGAAACUGGGGGACUUGAGUGCAGAAGAGGAGAGUGGAAUUCCACGUGUAGCGGUGAAAUGCGUAGAUAUGUGGAGGAACACCAGUGGCGAAGGCGGCUCUCUGGUCUGUAACUGACGCUGAGGCGCGAAAGCGUGGGGAGCGAACAGGAUUAGAUACCCUGGUAGUCCACGCCGUAAACGAUGAGUGCUA
RNAcentral lists this ribosomal RNA (758 nucleotides) under Bacillus sp. (in: firmicutes). RNAcentral's name for it is "bacterial SSU rRNA". It matches the Rfam family "Bacterial small subunit ribosomal RNA", at positions 77 to 818 of the family's 1533-position model. Lineage: Bacteria; Bacillati; Bacillota; Bacilli; Caryophanales; Bacillaceae. The record is from RNAcentral.